GGCCCCAUGUUGAAGAGUCAAUGAGAAAGAUUUAGUGGAUUGUGGGGAUUUAUGUAGGAUAAUUUGACCUUCAUUUUGUUGUCAAUUUUCACUUGCCCUUCUGGGCACCUCGAGGUCCCUAACCCCUCCUAGUGUCCUUCUUUCUUGGGCAUAUUUUUGAUCUCCUUUUUGCUUCACAUCUUGAGACCCUGAUCCACUCUGACAGACUUCAAUUCCUUAUGACAGAUUCAAAUAUAUCC
Molecule: long non-coding RNA, 239 nt
Filed under: Elaeis guineensis (African oil palm)
Lineage: Eukaryota; Viridiplantae; Streptophyta; Magnoliopsida; Arecales; Arecaceae
Description: long non-coding RNA (EGUI_LNC058019)
Source: RNAcentral